Molecule: unclassified non-coding RNA, 2608 nt
Filed under: Hevea brasiliensis (rubber tree)
Lineage: Eukaryota; Viridiplantae; Streptophyta; Magnoliopsida; Malpighiales; Euphorbiaceae
Source: RNAcentral
UCGGAUACCAGUACUCGAGCGAGUAGAGUACUCGUAGCUAUCGAUAACACAGAGGAAGAGAACGGGAGUUAUCUAGAGAACCAGUGAACUGAACUAAGCGAGUGACGUGUAAAGCCCAAUGGCUGCAGCUGCUGUGGCGCUGAACCACCAUCUGCUCUGCGUCUCAAAUUCAAGAACAUCUUCAUGGUUGCUUCAGAAAACUAGCUUGUUGAGCACUCGAAAGAAGGCUUGUCUCUCUUUAACUUGUUGCUCCUCAUCUUCUUCUACUUCUCAGUCGGCUGAAUCCAAUGCUUGGACUGCUGAAUCCUGUGUCAAUUUGGGCCUCUCCCUCUUCUCCAAAGGACGGGUAUUUAUAUGCUCUUACUCUUUUUCCUUUUUUCUUUUACAGCUAUUACCAUGGUUUCGAAUUGUAUUGCUUAGCGGUAUUUCUAGUUUUGUUGAAUUUUGGUUAUUCUCGGUCCAAUUUAUUCCUAUUUCGGUGUAUCUUCGUUGUAGACAAUACCUCUUGCUUUCGGCUGAAAUGAUUGAGCCAAGAACUUGAAAUUUAUCUUCUCCCUUAAUUUUAUGGGCACAUUUCUCCGUAACAAUGAAUUUUUCAGGUUAAAGAUGCUUUAGUCCAGUUUGACACAGCUCUUAGUUUAGAUCCCACACCUAUCGAGGCCCAAGCUGCACUCUAUAACAAAGCCUGCUGCCAUGCCUACCGGUGGGAUUUUCUUUUUCCUUUUGCAUAAUUUGGCUUUUAAUUUUGUUUCAAUUCUGAUAAUUCACUGCAAUGGAAUUACUUAUUUAUUUUAAUCUGAUGUCAUUCACCAUAUUGAAUUGAUUAAUAUAAUAAACAAAGUAAGUGCCCACAUAAGUUCUGUCCUUUAUUUCUUUCAGAUAAAACAUUAGGCGACCAAAAGAUCUCUUUUUUUUUUUUAUCUUUCUUGAAGUUGCUAUUUUUUCUAUGUGAACCAUGGUUCGAUGUAAAUGUAUAUAUAAGCAUAAAGUAUUACUAAGUUGAGCUAAUUGGCCCUGUUUUUCAUUCUUAUCUUGAGGAAGAGGGGAAGGGAAGAAAGCUUCUGAUUGCCUGCGUACUGCUUUAAGAGAAUAUAAUCUAAAAUUUGGCACCAUUUUGAAUGAUCCAGACUUGGCUUCCUUCAGAGUUUUGCCUGAGUUCAAGGAAUUGCAAGAAGAGGCUAGGCUGGGAGGGGAAGAUAUAGGGUACGGUUUUCGUAGAGAUCUCAAACUUAUUAGUGAGGUCCAAGCACCAUUUCGUGGGGUUAGGAGGUUUUUCAAUGUGGCGUUCACAGCGGCUGCAGGAAUUUCAUUGUUCUUUACAAUUCCAAGGCUCAUUCGUGCAAUUAGAGGUAGCGAUGGUGCCCCAGACCUCUGGGAAACAGCUGGAAAUGCUGCCGUUAAUAUUGGUGGCAUCAUUGUUCUCGUGGCCCUAUUUUUGUGGGACAAUAAGAAAGAGGAAGAACAAAUUGCACAGAUAACCAGAGAUGAAACUCUAUCAAGGUUGCCUUUGCGCCUUUCCACUAAACGGGUUGUUGAGCUUGUACAGCUUCGGGACACUGUUAGGCCGGUAAUUUUAGCAGGGAAAAAGGAGACUGUUUCUCUGGCUAUGCAGAAGGCAGAGAGGUUUCGAACUGAGCUCCUUAGGCGAGGUGUUCUCUUAGUUCCUGUUUUCUGGGGUGAAAGUAGAGAACCAGAAGUGCAGAAGAAAGGAUUUGGUGUUCCUGUGAAGGCAGCUGCUGCUCUUCCUUCUAUUGGGGAAGAUUUUGAGAAGCGAACUCAAUCUGUAGUUUCAAAAUCAAAAUUGAAAUCCGAAAUUCGCUUUAAAGCAGAGGUUGUAUCACCAAUUGAAUGGGAAAGGUGGAUAAGGGAUCAGCAGAAGUCUGAAGGAGUUACUCCGGGUGAGGAUGUCUACAUAAUACUGCGCCUCGAUGGUCGAGUUCGAAGAUCAGGGAAAGUAAGUACAUAUUUUAUCAACUACGCAUCUUUGUGAGGGAAACUUGAAAUGCAUAUCUUUGUUUUUACGUGAUUUGGUUGCUGAAUGAAAGAGCAAAGAACUGAAGCUUGAAAUUCUAGAAUUCAUCAACAGCAUAGAAACCUUGGAUUGAUUCAGGAAUUCAUUUCUUUCUUUAACCAGUUACCCAGCAGCAGCAUUUGAUCUCCAUAUGGAAGCUAGCAAAAGCUAGUAACUGAAUAUAUAUGCCCUCUUAUAGUCAUGUUGCUAGAGUGCUCUGGGUCAGCACGGCAUUUAUUUCACUAAAAACCUUUAACAUUCUUACAAGAGGUUGAAAAAGACUAGGGUUUUAAUAGGAUUAGACAUUUCUAUAUACCACCAUUGUCGAUAACUCAUACAUUACUGCAGGGCAUGCCUGACUGGCAACAAAUUGUGACGGAGCUGCCACCAAUGGAAGCUUUGUUAAGUAAGCUAGAAAAAUAGAAAUUCCUGGCCCUGCAAACACUUCUUGAAAGAUUUUUUUUUCCUCUUGUAAUUAUUGUUAUUAUAUAUUUUUAUACCAUCCAUGGUGAUUGCUCAUCAUGCCAUCUCUGUCAUACAAGUGACUUUUUAUUAGAAAAGCUUAUUCUCUUGGUCCUUGGAGCUGCUCAGUUCAUC